RNAcentral lists this long non-coding RNA (1300 nucleotides) under Sus scrofa (pig). RNAcentral's name for it is "lncRNA (ENSSSCG00070005016.1)". Lineage: Eukaryota; Metazoa; Chordata; Mammalia; Artiodactyla; Suidae. The record is from RNAcentral.
AUGGGACAAGCCCCCUCGAGGGCAUCACUAAGACACCCUGCCUGCUGGCCACAGACCCGGCAGCUCAGAAACACGGCCCCCAUCGACAGGCCCAAGAUGGAUCUGAAAGAAGGGGCGAUUUUCAGAAAUGUCACAUCCAGCAGGGGUUCGACGAGAACAUUGCUGUACGUACGGGGUGAACAAAGCUCAUCAAGGCCUGGUGGUGGGAAGCAUGGCCCGGUUUUUCUGCACAACAUUCAACCCCGACUUCUCCUUCCAUCUCGUCGCAUGUCCUCUGUGAAGGAUCAAGGCAGGGGCUGAGACAGCAGAGGUCAAGUCACGUUGUCGCUUUUGCGGUGUUCUGCUAGCAUCACAGGGAUGCCCGUGACACUGGCGUGAGAACAUGACUGUUCUGUUCCAUUGGCCACCGGAGAACAGAAGGGCACGUGUGCCGGCACGGACUGCGUGGCUCAGAUCACAGACGGGGAGGCUGAGGCCCGGAAGAAAACGGCUCCACUCUUUUUUCUAUCUCCUGACCUAUCAGCCACAAGCAAGGGCCGCUGUCUCUGUGGCCACUGCGCCAGCCCUUGGCUGAGCCGGGGAGGAAGCCUGCAGAGACCUCGCGGCCCUGCUGUGGGGCAGGGGUGGGACUCCCGGCCACAGUGAGUGUGGAGCUCCCAUAGGGCUCUGGGAAGAAGCCUGAGGCGCUGCUUGACCCGCUGUGGUCCCCUGAGCUGGAAUUCUUCCCGAUGGCCUCACGGUGGCCUUGGACCACCUGCAUCCCAAGCCCUGGGACUCUCUUAACCUUCAGAGGCCCCCCUGCACAGGCCAGCUGUCGCACAGCAGCUUUCUUGCAGAUUCUCAGGCUGGAACAGGAGCAGCACUGGGCCAGAUGAGGGCUCAACAAAUGUUCUCUCUAAAGGGCGGGGCAGGCAUAUUCCAGGCUUUGGAUGCCCCAGGGCCCUGGGGCCCUGCAGCAUGACAGCAGCUGUGGACAGUCUGUGAGUGGGUUUGUCGCUCACGGACCUCUGGGCUGGACCGCUGGGUCGACCCUGAGGGCCUGGAGUCGGAACCCUGCGUAAGUUGGUCUCCUUUACUCUCAUCUGAUGAGGGGAGACUCUGCAUGAGACCUGGGAGACCUGCUGGCAGCUGUGGGGUGAGGGCAGGCUCUGCACUCAUCAGGCUGUAGCACUGCCAGGCCCCUACCUUCCAGGAACUCAGUUUCCCCAUCUCAUACCAGUUGAUCCCUCCGCCCUCGAGCAGCCUCUUUCUCUGCCAUCUGCCGCCUCCACCACCUCUGCUGCCACCUGUCCAGGCCUCC